Molecule: long non-coding RNA, 1075 nt
Organism: Juglans regia (Persian walnut)
Lineage: Eukaryota; Viridiplantae; Streptophyta; Magnoliopsida; Fagales; Juglandaceae
Exons: 3
Source: RefSeq, a predicted model, not a curated record
UAGUAAAAUUAUAUAUUUUUUUAAUUUUUUUUUAGUGAUUAAGGAUGUUAGUAACUCCAUCACCACCCGGCUAUAAAACUUUCUCCCAAAUCGAGCACAGCGAAAUUAUUCCGUCCCUCUGAUCUUAACUAGGUUGUGUGCGAUUUUCUUCCCUCGCCUAAUGAAACUGACACAAAACUUGGGGCGUUCCUUGUCGAGUACUCGAGUUAAAGCAGAUGUGAUACGGUGGAACAGAGAAAAGCAGAGCUAAAAAAAAGAGGUUGAAAGCGGUAUAUGUUUCUCACUGAAUCACGUUGAACUUCUUACUGGCAAUAUGUGCUGUAAAGAGUACCUUAGGCACGUCAAUGGCUUUGCUGCCAAGUAUACUAGAUAUGUUACCUGUUUUUAACUCGUAUACAAGACAGUCGAUGGCUGACAUGACACACGAAGCCAUCGACAUGUCUAGUAUACGAGUAGAAAACGAGUUCCUUGUUGCGAGUGCGAAAAACAAUUGAACAAAUCUUUCUGAAAACCAGUGAAUUCGAUAAGAGGGGAAUAAAAAAGUAUACCUCCCCAAUACAGAACCUCAGCAGAUCAUAAUGCAGAAUUUGUCACACCAAAAGGGUGUUGGGCAUGUGAAUGUGAUCCUAUAUAUGACCGCAGCGCAGAACAAGUUCUUCUGAAUCUCCUCGAAUGGAAUUUGGAAAAGGGAAAAAGAAAAGAUAAAUGAGAAAGGAGGAUUUGUCUUCCAGGAAUAAUAAAACGUAAAGCUCGGGAAGCUUCCCUUCCCUUCCCUUCCCUUCAUGUGGCCGGGCAACAGUGGCUGUCUGGGACAGAGAUAAAAGGACUAAUAGAAGUCAGGGAUGAAGAGGUGAAAGCAUUGUCUCUUUCUUAAUGAAAAGCGCAGUGCUAGGAUGUUAACUUGAAGGAACGGGUGUCAUUUGAAGUUUCAAACGGUAUAUGUCGAUCGUACUUGUACAUCGUCCAUGUUGAAUUUGCCAUGAGACUGAGGGAGGAGGAUGAGUCAUUACGAAUGUGAGGAGGUGCUUGAUAUCUUGCCAGAAGAGCUGACUGAAAUAGUACUCCUCACAAAGUG